GGAAAAUGAUGUUCACGGGCUGAAAAAUGAAACAGCGGAAGCUUUGUCCCCGCUCCACUCAGAGGGGUUACUUAGAGGUGAAUGGGUGACUCAAGGGCCCACGCCAGCAUGGGUGAAGGCUCCUGAAGGCUUCACCCCAGCUGUGCUUCACACAGCUUCACAGAUGAGCCUCCUCCUAGCAAACUACAACAUUCUAAUCUUCCCAGCCUUGAAAACUUCCUUCGCCUCCUCAGAGUCCCUCUCAGCCCCCUGGGAGGGGAUGUCUCCAUUUGGAGGUGCUACAUAAAGCUAUUCGAGAAGACGAGAUUAAACAUGAGGUUGGAACAGUUAUUGCCAACUGGUAGCUUGGUUAGGCUUUUGAUUUUGCAUUUCUAAUAACAACCCCACCACCACCAAGA
This 398-nucleotide long non-coding RNA is filed under the name Rattus norvegicus (Norway rat). Its description in RNAcentral is "long non-coding RNA NONRATT008309". Lineage: Eukaryota; Metazoa; Chordata; Mammalia; Rodentia; Muridae. The record is from RNAcentral.